AUGGCUACAUCUGUGGAGACUGCUCCAGUCAGAGCACCUGGAAAGUGUGAGACUGGGAGGAAAACUGAAUUCCAGAAUGAGGACUCUCCACUAACUGUGCCCCUUCUAGCCUCUAGACCUUCAAACCUAAAUACUGUAACCAAGACCUUUACAGAAGAUUUUGACAGCUAAGCAAAAGGGGUGAUGGAUUCUCUCAGCUCUCUGAUUAUAUGUUACCUGGCACCUUACCAGCACCAUUCACUCUAGAGCAGUAAGAGUAAGGAUAGGAGAUCUUCCUCUGGCCUUUUUACACACACUGUAAUAAGCUACCAGGGCAAACAUAAAUGUUUACUGCUGCUAUCUGCAGUCCACUCAUCUGAAUUUCAUUCAGUCUAUGAGCUUUCUCUAUUGGAAAGCAGCAAAUUUUGAGGCAAGGGAAUCUUCCAUAAAUUCUCAUUUAGUUCUAUUUCUGAUGAAGCAUCCUGAUUGACAGAACAAUUUGUAAUCUUUUUAAAGACCAGCCUAGAUGGAUACUGCUUUAUAACUAAUAUUUUAUGAGGUUUUUGUGAACUCUGAAUCAUGAGGUU
RNAcentral lists this long non-coding RNA (566 nucleotides) under Struthio camelus australis. RNAcentral describes it as "lncRNA (ENSSCUG00000014373.1)". The record is from RNAcentral. Lineage: Eukaryota; Metazoa; Chordata; Aves; Struthioniformes; Struthionidae.